CUUUCAGUGAAUAAAGGACAAACUGCUACACUUAACUGUGAUGUUGGAGUUAAAAGCGACGGUAUUAUAGCUUUCCUCCGUCAGUUACCAAGAGAGGCCCCACAGCUUUUGCUAUAUCAUCACCAUUCAUACACAGAACCUAAAUAUGGACCUGGAAUGUCUUCAGCACAUUAUGGCUGCACUAUAAACAGUGCUGGGACACAGUAUCAACUGAUUAUCAAAAACACAGACACCUCGGAUACUGGUUUGGUUUACUGUUCUAAAUGGCAACAAAAUGUGGGACAACACCAUGAUACACAGCUGAACAAAAACACAGCAGGAGGGCUGACAG
Non-coding RNA from Pelobates cultripes (western spadefoot toad), 331 nucleotides. NCBI's taxonomy places the organism in Eukaryota, Metazoa, Chordata, Amphibia, Anura, Pelobatidae. The record is from the annotation of a GenBank genome assembly.